GACGAACGCUGGCGGCGCGCCUAACACAUGCAAGUCGAACGAGCGAGAGAGAGCUUGCUUUCUCGAGCGAGUGGCGAACGGGUGAGUAACGCGUGAGGAACCUGCCUCAAAGAGGGGGACAACAGUUGGAAACGACUGCUAAUACCGCAUAAGCCCACGGCUCGGCAUCGAGCAGGGGGAAAAGGAGCAAUCCGCUUUGAGAUGGCCUCGCGUCCGAUUAGCUAGUUGGUGAGGUAACGGCCCACCAAGGCGACGAUCGGUAGCCGGACUGAGAGGUUGAACGGCCGCAUUGGGACUGAGACACGGCCCAGACUCCUACGGGAGGCAGCAGUGGGGAAUAUUGCACAAUGGGGGAAACCCUGAUGCAGCGACGCCGCGUGGAGGAAGAAGGUCUUCGGAUUGUAAACUCCUGUUGUUGGGGAAGAUAAUGACGGUACCCAACAAGGAAGUGACGGCUAACUACGUG
This 466-nucleotide ribosomal RNA is filed under the name uncultured bacterium. RNAcentral's name for it is "partial 16S ribosomal RNA". It matches the Rfam family "Bacterial small subunit ribosomal RNA", at positions 28 to 507 of the family's 1533-position model. The record is from RNAcentral.